GAUGAACGCUAGCGGCAGGCUUAAUACAUGCAAGUCGAGGGGCAGCACGUUUCGCAGCAAUGCGGGAUGGUGGCGACCGGCAAACGGGUGAGGAUCGCGUACACAAUCUUCCCAGAGCAGGGGGAUAACCCGGGGAAACCCGGACUAAUACCCCGUAGUUUACUUUGAAGGCAUCUUUGAGGUACUAAAACUCCGGUGGCUUUGGAUGAGUGUGCGUCCUAUUAGGUAGUUGGCAGGGUAACGGCCUACCAAGCCUUCGAUGGGUAACUGGUGUGAGAGCACGACCAGUCACACGGGAACUGAGACACAGGCCCGACUCCUACGGGAGGCAGCAGUAAGGAAUAUAGGUGGAUGGACGCAAGUCUGAACCAGCCAUGCCGCGUGAAGGAUGAAGGUCCUCUGGAUUGUAAACUUCUUGUAUAGGAGGCGAAAAAAGGGUUUUUUAACUCACUUGACGGUACCUUAUGAAUAAGCACCGGCUAACUCCGUG
This 490-nucleotide ribosomal RNA is filed under the name uncultured bacterium. RNAcentral describes it as "partial 16S ribosomal RNA". It matches the Rfam family "Bacterial small subunit ribosomal RNA", at positions 28 to 507 of the family's 1533-position model. The record is from RNAcentral.